Molecule: ribosomal RNA, 730 nt
Filed under: uncultured bacterium
Lineage: Bacteria
Description: bacterial SSU rRNA
Rfam family: Bacterial small subunit ribosomal RNA
Source: RNAcentral
AACAGGAUUAGAUACCCUGGUAGUCCACGCCGUAAACGAUGAGUGCUAGGUGUUGGGGGGCUACGCCCCUCAGUGCCGAAGGUAACCCAUUAAGCACUCCGCCUGGGGAGUACGGCCGCAAGGCUGAAACUCAAAGGAAUUGACGGGGGCCCGCACAAGCGGUGGAGCAUGUGGUUUAAUGCGAAGCAACGCGAAGAACCUUACCAGGGCUUGACAUCCCGCUGACCCCUCCAGAGAUGGAGGUUUCCUUCGGGACAGCGGUGACAGGUGGUGCAUGGUUGUCGUCAGCUCGUGUCGUGAGAUGUUGGGUUCAGUCCCGCAACGAGCGCAACCCUUGUCGUUAGUUGCCAGCAUUUCGGAUGGGCACUCUAACGAGACAGCCGGUGAAAGCCGGAGGAAGGUGGGGAUGACGUCAAAUCAUCAUGCCCCUUAUGUCCCGGGCUACACACGUGCUACAAUGGCUGGUACAAAGGGCAGCGAACCCGCGAGGGGGAGCCAAUCCCAAAAAGCCAGUCUCAGUUCGGAUCGCAGGCUGCAACUCGCCUGCGUGAAGCCGGAAUCGCUAGUAAUCGCGGAUCAGCAUGCCGCGGUGAAUAUGUUCCCGGGCCUUGUACACACCGCCCGUCACACCACGAGAGUUUGCAACACCCGAAGUCGGUGAGGCAACCUUUUAGGAGCCAGCCGCCGAAGGUGGGGCAGAUGAUUGGGGUGAAGUCGUAACAAGGUAACC